AUAUAUAUACAGAUAUUGGAUAUCUCCUACUCCCCCUACUUUUCUUCUGAUUGAUUUCGUUCCGGGUCCCAAGACAGAUUUAGCUUGUGGC
This is a long non-coding RNA of Aricia agestis (brown argus), 91 nucleotides long. RefSeq lists it as uncharacterized. The record is from RefSeq and is a predicted model, not a curated record. The transcript has 3 exons. NCBI's taxonomy places the organism in Eukaryota, Metazoa, Arthropoda, Insecta, Lepidoptera, Lycaenidae.